RNAcentral lists this ribosomal RNA (253 nucleotides) under uncultured bacterium. RNAcentral's name for it is "partial 16S ribosomal RNA". It matches the Rfam family "Bacterial small subunit ribosomal RNA", at positions 524 to 776 of the family's 1533-position model. The record is from RNAcentral.
UACGUAGGGGGCGAGCGUUGUCCGGAUUUAUUGGGCGUAAAGAGCGUGUAGGCGGCCAGGUAGGUCUGCUGUGAAAACUCGAGGCUCAACCUCGAGACGUCGGCGGAAACCAUCUGGCUAGAGUCCGGAAGAGGAGAGUGGAAUUCCUGGUGUAGCGGUGAAAUGCGCAGAUAUCAGGAGGAACACCCGUGGCGAAAGCGGCUCUCUGGGACGGUACUGACGCUGAGACGCGAAAGCGUGGGGAGCAAACAGG